GACAGAGGGUGCUAGCGUUGUUCGGAAUUACUGGGCGUAAAGGGCGCGUAGGCGGCCCUGCAAGUCAAAGGUGAAAUCCCUCGGCUCAACUGAGGAACUGCCUUUGAAACUGUGGGGCUUGAGGCCGGGAGGGGGUAGCGGAAUUCCCAGUGUAGCGGUGAAAUGCGUAGAUAUUGGGAGGAACACCAGUGGCGAAGGCGGCUACCUGGACCGGUACUGACGCUGAUGCGCGAAAGCGUGGGUAGCAAACAGG
This 253-nucleotide ribosomal RNA is filed under the name uncultured bacterium. Its description in RNAcentral is "partial 16S ribosomal RNA". It matches the Rfam family "Bacterial small subunit ribosomal RNA", at positions 524 to 776 of the family's 1533-position model. The record is from RNAcentral.